AAAUUGAAGAGUUUGAUCAUGGCUCAGAUUGAACGCUGGCGGCAGGCCUAACACAUGCAAGUCGAACGGUAACAGGAAGCAGCUUGCUGCUUCGCUGACGAGUGGCGGACGGGUGAGUAAUGUCUGGGAAACUGCCUGAUGGAGGGGGAUAACUACUGGAAACGGUGGCUAAUACCGCAUAACGUCGCAAGACCAAAGAGGGGGACCUUCGGGCCUCUUGCCAUCAGAUGUGCCCAGAUGGGAUUAGCUUGUUGGUGAGGUAACGGCUCACCAAGGCGACGAUCCCUAGCUGGUCUGAGAGGAUGACCAGCCACACUGGAACUGAGACACGGUCCAGACUCCUACGGGAGGCAGCAGUGGGGAAUAUUGCACAAUGGGCGCAAGCCUGAUGCAGCCAUGCCGCGUGUAUGAAGAAGGCCUUCGGGUUGUAAAGUACUUUCAGCGGGGAGGAAGGUGUUGCGGUUAAUAACCGCAGCAAUUGACGUUACCCGCAGAAGAAGCACCGGCUAACUCCGUGCCAGCAGCCGCGGUAAUACGGAGGGUGCAAGCGUUAAUCGGAAUUACUGGGCGUAAAGCGCACGCAGGCGGUCUGUCAAGUCGGAUGUGAAAUCCCCGGGCUCAACCUGGGAACUGCAUUCGAAACUGGCAGGCUUGAGUCUUGUAGAGGGGGGUAGAAUUCCAGGUGUAGCGGUGAAAUGCGUAGAGAUCUGGAGGAAUACCGGUGGCGAAGGCGGCCCCCUGGACAAAGACUGACGCUCAGG
This 761-nucleotide ribosomal RNA is filed under the name Salmonella enterica. Its description in RNAcentral is "bacterial SSU rRNA". It matches the Rfam family "Bacterial small subunit ribosomal RNA", at positions 1 to 751 of the family's 1533-position model. Lineage: Bacteria; Pseudomonadati; Pseudomonadota; Gammaproteobacteria; Enterobacterales; Enterobacteriaceae. The record is from RNAcentral.